CCCCUAGAUGUUCUGGGCCGCACGCGCGCUACACUGAACAGUUCAACAAGUCUUAACCUUGGCCGACAGGCCCGGGCAAUCUUUGAACGCCGGUCGUGAUGGGGAUAGACUUUUGCAAUUUUUGGUCUUCAACGAGGAAUUCCUAGUAAACGCAAGUCAUCAACUUGCAUUGAUUACGUCCCUGCCCUUUGUACACACCGCCCGUCGCACCUACCGAUUGAAUGGUCCGGUGAAGCCUCCGGAUUGGCGCGCACCUCGGUGCCGCCGAGAAGUUGGCUAAACCUUACCAUUUAGAGGAAGGUGAAGUCGUANCA
Molecule: ribosomal RNA, 314 nt
Filed under: uncultured eukaryote
Lineage: Eukaryota
Description: partial 18S ribosomal RNA
Rfam family: Eukaryotic small subunit ribosomal RNA
Source: RNAcentral